RNAcentral lists this unclassified non-coding RNA (319 nucleotides) under plant metagenome. RNAcentral's name for it is "partial contains small subunit ribosomal RNA and internal transcribed spacer 1". The stretch from base 1 to 46 matches the Rfam family "Eukaryotic small subunit ribosomal RNA", at positions 1786 to 1831 of the family's 1831-position model. The record is from RNAcentral.
AAGUCGUAACAAGGUUUCCGUAGGUGAACCUGCGGAAGGAUCAUUAAAGAGUCGCCCUGCACCCCUCCCGGGGACGAGGGCCACGGGUGAGGCCCGGGAUUAAACCCCCGGGUCCCCGUCCGUCCUUCCACCCUGUCGUCUCACCUUCUACGUUGCCUUUUCGGACGGGCCUUGGGUUCUGGUCCCCCGGGGCAGCCCCCUUCGCCCCGGGCGUGGCCACCCCGUCCCGACCGGGAGCCAGCGCCCCGCCGAGAGACCCCACCCCAUUCCCUCUGAUUUUUUUCCCAUGCGGUCUGAGCGAAACACGAAUAAAAUAAAA